RNAcentral lists this ribosomal RNA (253 nucleotides) under uncultured bacterium. RNAcentral describes it as "partial 16S ribosomal RNA". It matches the Rfam family "Bacterial small subunit ribosomal RNA", at positions 524 to 776 of the family's 1533-position model. The record is from RNAcentral.
UACGUAGGUGACAAGCGUUAUCCGGAAUUACUGGGCGUAAAGCGCACGCAGGCGGCUGCGUAAGUCUGACGUGAAAUCUCCCGGCUUAACCGGGAGCGGUCGUUGGAAACUAUGCGGCUUGAGGCGAUGAGAGGGGUGUGGAAUUCCCGGUGUAGUGGUGGAAUGCGUAGAUAUCGGGAGGAACAUCAGUGGCGAAGGCGGCACCCUGGCAUUAGCCUGACGCUCAGGUGCGAAAGCGUGGGGAGCGAACGGG